UACAGAGGGUGCGAGCGUUGAUCGGAGUUACUGGGCGUGAAGGGCGCGUAGGCGGUUAUGUGAGUGUGAUGUGAAAGCCCCGGGCUUAGCCUGGGAAUGUCGUCUUAAACUGCAUGACUGGAGUACUGUAGAGGGUAGUGGAAUUUCCGGUGUAGCGGUGAAAUGCGUAGAGAUCGGAAGGAACACCAGUGGCGAAGGCGGCUACCUAGACAGAUACUGACACUGAGGCGCGAAAGCGUGGGGAGCAAACAGG
This 253-nucleotide ribosomal RNA is filed under the name uncultured bacterium. RNAcentral describes it as "partial 16S ribosomal RNA". It matches the Rfam family "Bacterial small subunit ribosomal RNA", at positions 524 to 776 of the family's 1533-position model. The record is from RNAcentral.